Ictalurus punctatus (channel catfish) is the source of this 2196-nucleotide long non-coding RNA. The record is from Ensembl. NCBI's taxonomy places the organism in Eukaryota, Metazoa, Chordata, Actinopteri, Siluriformes, Ictaluridae.
CACGUCGAGAUGGUGACCGAAAUUAAAUCGUUUAAUUUCUCUAUAGACCGCUGAAGAAUGGCACGGUUUAAAGAAAUAUUACUGCUUCCCAACCCAGGCUUUGUCUAGGCUGGGCUAGCUUAGCCACAUGAGCUAACACGGUGUGUGUUUUUCCAGACCUGGAUUCCACCUGCAUUACACACACACUGCUCUAACACACCCGCCUCCGCCCAGCAGCCCAUUAGCAAGCUCUUUCAUCAGGUUGGAAUUGGGAAAUUUUCUUAAACACGAGCGAGUUUCGGGAGCAUGUCUGGAAAAUACAAAGCAGUGAUGUGCCGUUCGCGAAGGAGUCGGCUCUUUCAUUCGACUCUUUGAGGUGCGAGCUGAGAGUCGACUCGCGUAUAUGAGUGGAUUCAGUAGGUUCCCAGCCCUGGUGCUGAAGAAUGAACUGUCCUGCGCAUUUGAGACUUUACUGCUCACACACUUCAUCUCAGGGUGUGCUGUUAGUUAGCAGAUCAGUUGAAUCUGGUGUGUUUGAGCCGAGAAAACACUACACAGUGUAGGACAGAGAGUUCUCCAGGACCAGGGUUGGGAAGCUCUUGGUGUAUGCAUGUUCAUUAGUGUGAAUGGUGAGUUGUGUGACUUGGGUAGGGCUGGGCAAUAUGACAAAAAUAUAUCAAUGCACAUCUCUAUAUAAUUUAGCUAACAAACUGUCUGCAAAACUAGCAAAAUAAACAAAAGAAACCCUGUUAAACUGUCUUUGAUGGUGCUUUUCUUUAAUGCCGACAAAGAAGAUUGGCAAAUCAACCGCAUCCGUUCAGUACCGUUUAAAAUAUAUAUCACCAUACCAACAGUAUCUCAGAAAGGUGUAUUGUGUAAUCAUUUUAGGGCUGUGACUAACGAUUACUUUCAUAAUCGAUUAAUUGGCUGAUUUUUUUCUUUUUUGAUUAAAAAACUUUCAAUACUAUUUUUUCAUUGAUUUAAAUCCACAAACUGAGAUGUUACAUAUAUAAACUCUAAAUUACCACAACUGUUUGACCAAUAUAUAAAUAAGAUUAUUUAUAUAUGUGUAUUUAUGCAUUAUUUUUUAUGGAUGCACUUAUAAUUAAACUACAGUCCUAAAUUAACAAUAAAAUCUCACUUUCACUGCACCUUAUGGUUUCAGGUAUAUUGCCUUUAGAUAUAUUGUUUUACUUGUUUAUUUUUAUCAUACUGUUUUAAUCAGACAUUACAGAUCUUACUUGCAUCUACGUCCCUGCGUCUGCAUGGCAAGUGAAGUGCAACGUGGCCUCGUUACUAAUAGUUCUCUAUAAUAAGUGACAGAAUUUACACUGCAAACGUGCAAAUUAUAUAAUGACAGUAAACUUGAUUUAGCUGAACCACUUAAGCAACUUGCACCAGUUUCCCCCCAACCCCUUGCACAUAGUGGAGAAUUUUGGAUAUAAACACAAAUUUGUGCUCGUGCAUCACUUUCGUGCUUCCACUCUACACAAGUUCCACUUUUCUUCUACACUACAUUUAAUAUAAAAUGCACCCCUGCCUUAGAGGACCUGGGUCGCGCACUUUUUUCCACUGUCACUUGACGAUUAUGUCUCCGUCUGAUGUGACUGAGCUCAUGUUGAGAGAUGAUACUACCCUUCUAAAAUUCAUACACUGGACGGCAGAGCGCAUAGUAUAAGUUUAUUGUACGUUAUUUGGGACACAACUUGGUCUGUAAUCUCCGAUGCAUGUUUUUGGAACAGAUGAGUAAACGUGCCGCGUGCGGACGACUAAUCAAUCAUGAGAUUCGUUGACACCGAUUUUCAUAAUCGAUUGGUUGUUGCAGCAGUAAAUCAUUUAUAAUGAUAAAUAUAAUAUUGAUAUAUUGCCUGGCCCUAGACUCAAGUGUGUGAGAAAGUGUGACAGUGUGAGACUCUAGACUACCGUUUAUUGAUACUAUAUAUGGUCUGUGUAAUAACAAUCAACAGGGAAGAUUUUAUUGCUACAUGGAGUCACUAUUUCAGCAACAUUGGAAGUUAUAUUUUCUUAAUUCUGCACAAAUUUGGUAUAGUGCUGUAAAAUGGCAGAUCCAAACGAUCGUCUUGAAUGAUUCCUCACACAAAUCCUAAAGGACACAUAGUCCGAUGUUUCCUCAGUUUCUCUCUCACAACUUUAGUUCUGACCUGCAGUUAGUGUAGAAGAAAAGCAUAUAACUGUGAUUUUCUUCUUACCCCGUCA